RNAcentral lists this transfer RNA (74 nucleotides) under Ignavibacteria bacterium. RNAcentral describes it as "tRNA-Met". It matches the Rfam family "tRNA". Rfam says of the family: Transfer RNA (tRNA) molecules are approximately 80 nucleotides in length. Their secondary structure includes four short double-helical elements and three loops (D, anti-codon, and T loops). Lineage: Bacteria; Pseudomonadati; Ignavibacteriota; Ignavibacteria. The record is from RNAcentral.
GCCGGAGUAGCUCAGUCGGUCAGAGCAACGGAAUCAUAAUCCGUGUGUCGGCGGUUCAAUUCCGUCCUCCGGUA